CCUAGCAGUAAUGUCAGACAAAUUAGUGAAAACCUGGCAGACAUCUAUUGAACAACUCAGGAAAGAGGUGCUGGAUAUCGGCAACAGAACGGCACACGUUGAAAACAAACUAAGUGAAUAUGCCACAGCACACAAUGACAUAGCCGACCAUGUAGCAGCCUUGGAACAAAAGGUGACAUUAAUAGAGACGCGCAUGGCGGAUGCAGAGGACAGAUCACGGAGAAAUAACCUCAGAUUAAGAGGUUUUCCUGAAACGGUCCUCCCCGGCGACCUACAGGCGUAUGUCAGAGUCCUGAUGAGAGCAUA
Molecule: non-coding RNA, 306 nt
Organism: Pelobates cultripes (western spadefoot toad)
Lineage: Eukaryota; Metazoa; Chordata; Amphibia; Anura; Pelobatidae
Source: the annotation of a GenBank genome assembly